GACGAACGCUGGCGGCGUGCUUAACACAUGCAAGUCGAACGAAGUGGCGAACGGGUGAGUAACGCGUAGUCAACCUGCCCUUCAGAGGGGGACAACAGUUGGAAACGACUGAUAAUACCGCAUACUGAAGGAGGGGAUUGCGUGUGAUUAGCUGGUUGGGGGGGUAAAGGCCCACCAAGGCGAUGAUCAGUCGCCUGUCUGAGAGGAGGAACUGCCACAGUGGGACUGAGACACGGCCCAGAAUUCUACGGGAGGGAGCAGUUGGGAAUCUUCCGCAAUGGACGAAAGUCUGACGGAGCAACGCCGCGGGAGAGAUGACGGCCUUCGGGUUGGAAAGCUCUGUUAAUCGGGGCGCGGUACCGGAAUAGAAAGCCACGGCUAACUACGUGCCAGCCGCCGCGGUAAUUC
This 408-nucleotide ribosomal RNA is filed under the name uncultured bacterium. Its description in RNAcentral is "partial 16S ribosomal RNA". It matches the Rfam family "Bacterial small subunit ribosomal RNA", at positions 28 to 526 of the family's 1533-position model. The record is from RNAcentral.